This is a non-coding RNA of Pseudonaja textilis, 248 nucleotides long. The record is from RefSeq and is a predicted model, not a curated record. NCBI's taxonomy places the organism in Eukaryota, Metazoa, Chordata, Lepidosauria, Squamata, Elapidae.
GCAGGCUCUUCUCAAGCUUUCUCAAUCCUGAGUUCAGGUUUUGGCGGGUAUACCUGGACAUCGGGGUUUCACUGGCCUGAUCUUUCCUCUCUGCAUUGGGUAGACCACUGGGCUGAAGCUUCGCUGGCCUGAUCUUUCCUAGCUGCAUUGGGUAGACUAUGCCAAAGCAACACAAAUAGACCGGGAUGGCCCGGAUCUAACCCCAUCGCGGGCUUUGAGUUUGACACCCCUGGACUACAAUGAUGUGG